UUGGUCCACCAUUUGCACGAUAUCGUGUAAAUAGACGGUCCGCAAUGAUGGCGGCAGGUGCGAAGAGGAAAGGAGAAAUGGGAGAGGCCCCGGGUGCCAAAAGAACACCUGGUCACUGGAGUCAAGGUCUUUUAUCGUCCAUGGACGACCCAGAACUCAGAGUCGAUGCUGAUGAUAAAGUUGUAAUUAUCAAGGACAAGUACCCAAAGGCACUACAUCACUUCCUCAUUUUGCCCAAAGAGAAGAUUGCCAACUUAAAGAAGCUUAAGUCAGAACACAUACUCCUCCUUAAACACAUCCACAAGAAAGGAAUUGAGAUUGCAGAAAAAGCAGACAAAAACCUGCAGUUUAGGUUUGGCUAUCAUGCAGUCCCCAGCAUGAGCCACCUUCACAUGCAUGUGAUCAGCCAGGACUUUAACAGCCCCUUUCUCAAGACUAAGAAGCACUGGAACUCCUUCACUACGGAGUAUUUCAUUGAUUCCAAAGAUAUCCUAGAUCAGCUGGAAGAUAAGGGGAGAGUAGAGACAAAUACAACAGAGAAUGAACAACUGCUCAAGAGAGAGUUAAGUUAUUCCGUCGUGAGACGAGAGGAAUGUCACUAUCGCAGAAUAGCGAAUGACAUGGUUCGGUCAAUACCACCCAACCGUUAUUAUCGGCAGGUAUUAUGACGCCUGUGACUGCAGAAGUACACCAUCCACCGAAAUCAACAAUACCAGAGGACUUUGUGUCACAAGUGCUCCAAGAUGUUCUCCACGAUGCCAGCUCUCAAGUCUCACAUCGUCCUGCACAAUGUGUCAAAGAAAAAGUCCUGAUAGUUAUACAGGCUUACUUGUGUAGAAACUGUAAAUAAAGCAUCACCCUUUA
RNAcentral lists this unclassified non-coding RNA (864 nucleotides) under Haliotis rufescens (red abalone). Its description in RNAcentral is "aprataxin-like, transcript variant X2". Lineage: Eukaryota; Metazoa; Mollusca; Gastropoda; Lepetellida; Haliotidae. The record is from RNAcentral.